This 253-nucleotide ribosomal RNA is filed under the name uncultured bacterium. RNAcentral describes it as "partial 16S ribosomal RNA". It matches the Rfam family "Bacterial small subunit ribosomal RNA", at positions 524 to 776 of the family's 1533-position model. The record is from RNAcentral.
CACGGGGGGAGCAAGCGUUGUUCGGAAUUACUGGGCGUAAAGGGCGUGUAGGCGGUUCGAUAAGUGGAAUGUGAAAUGCCCCGGCUCACCCGGGGACCUGCAUCCCAAACUGUCGGACUAGAGUAUGGGAGAGGAUGAGGGAAUUCCUGGUGUAGCGGUGAAAUGCGUAGAUAUCAGGAGGAACACCGGUGGCGAAAGCGCUCAUCUGGCCCAAUACUGACGCUGAGGCGCGAAAGCUAGGGGAGCAAACGGG